RNAcentral lists this unclassified non-coding RNA (1095 nucleotides) under Hevea brasiliensis (rubber tree). Lineage: Eukaryota; Viridiplantae; Streptophyta; Magnoliopsida; Malpighiales; Euphorbiaceae. The record is from RNAcentral.
GAUUGUUGACACAAGUUACACCGGCAUGGUGCACAAUCCAAUACACACUUGGAUUAUCCUGCUGUAUCUAGAUCUUCUGCAUCUGUUUCUCCAUCAAUCAUCCCCGUCUCUGCUUCUGUGUCUGCUUCAAUCUGCCCUGCUUCUUGAGCAACAUCUGUGUCAGAGCUUUGCUUCUGGUUAUCCUCCGGAGUAGGAGUUUCUUCCUGACAUAUGUUAACAGUAGCUAUUCCUGCAUCUGUAUCCAUGGGAGCAGCAGAUGCUUCAGGAUCCGCUCUGCCCACUUCAUUGUCCAUCUCACUUGGUGGUGUUGCAAUCUGAUUUUCUUCUGCUUGUUGUGCUGAGUUUUUUGUGUCCUCCUUCUUCGUCCGCUUAGUCCUUUCGCUUGGUUUAGCUUGAUAUUUGGCCCGAACUUCAUUAGGCAAAAGCUCCAGAGGCACUACCCCCUCAAUACCAUGUUCUGUAAAUCUGGAAAAUCCUUCCAAGUCUUGCCGGGCUGAAAACCGCAAACCUUUCCAACAAUAGACCCGAUUGUUUUUGUGAUGGUAUUCUGCUUCUAUUCCAGCAGAUUCAUCCAUAUCUUCUGCCAGAGGUUUCCAGUACUUUGUGAUAGCAGGAGUGGCCACCCGUUCAGCAUCAGUUAAAGCACCCGAAUACUGAUCAGCCCAUUUCCACAGUUGGGAGAGUUCUUUGUUUCCAAGACUCCAUCGUGUCCGACGUUUUUUGGUUCCAUCUUGAACCAGCUUUUUCUCUACCGGUUGCUUCUCAAAUGGGGGGCAGCCAUCACGUUUCCACCAAACCCAAUUCCUUUCACGCUCCAAAAUGUGCUCAAUACUGCGGAGGAAAUCUAUGCCUUUGGGUGGAGUCAUUUCAAGAAGCUUCUUUGCCCGCUCUUCACUAGUCUUUAUUUCCUCCUUCAUUGCUUCAGAGGGCAAUUCCUUCUCACUUUUCCCUGGUGCCUUCAAAUAGUCGAACAGAAUGAGGCACUGAACCAGAACGUGGCGCCUGAAACUAGGAUCUUUCAGCUCGAGACCCAUAAGUUUACUGCUUGUAAGAUAUUUUAUGUUGAAGGUUGCAGCAUCAUCCUCAAGGUUAUGA